This is a long non-coding RNA of Macaca mulatta (Rhesus monkey), 692 nucleotides long. RefSeq lists it as uncharacterized. The record is from RefSeq and is a predicted model, not a curated record. Lineage: Eukaryota; Metazoa; Chordata; Mammalia; Primates; Cercopithecidae.
CAACCAUCAUCCCGAAAAUUUCCCCUUGUGAAUUCAAAUGAACUGUAACACCAACGGCUGGUUCAUUACGUUGCCCUGUUGCAGAGAUCCAGAGUGCUCAUGGACAGGGCCAGAAAGCAGGGUAGAUAUGCCCUACUGAGAGCCAGCCUUGACUGUAAGAGCAAAGAUGUGCUUUCUCGAAGAUCUAGGGCUCUUGCUUUUAUAUUCGACAAGUUGUUUUCAACACUUCAGUCUUCUCAACUGUUAGGCGAAGUACUAUCAGGUUCUCGCUAGCUCUACACAAGAAAUAUUGCAAAAGUGCUCAUCACCAAAACAAAUGACUGAUCUGUCGAUCUGUGAGAGUCAAAAUUAACUUUCACGAUAAAGAAAAAUGUCUUUAAUAGGUUUAAAACAUGUUCUGAAAGGGGACCGAAAGGAUGGAGCCAGAGCACCCAAUAUUGUCUUUUCACUGUCACACAGCCUGUGCCCGCAGCAUGAAUUUUCCUAGGAAAUGUCAUUCUGAUGCCUUCUAUGUAGAAGAAACUUGAAUUGUCAAAUACUCACCAAACUAGCACAGUCUUCCAAAAACGGGGAAGACCUGGAACCAAACAGAAAGUGAAUAUUCAGCCAAGUAUGAAACUUUCAAAGAAAAUAAACUGCAUCUAUCCGUAUUAAACUCUUUGUUCAUUCUGAAUAAAAACAAUUUAAUUAAU